Molecule: non-coding RNA, 219 nt
Organism: Vicia faba (fava bean)
Lineage: Eukaryota; Viridiplantae; Streptophyta; Magnoliopsida; Fabales; Fabaceae
Source: the annotation of a GenBank genome assembly
AUGAUAAUACCUCCAUAUUUCCACGGGACCUACCAUCUAUAUCCCAUUCUCUCUUCUCUCUCUCUUAUCAUGACCAGAAUAAAAGGUUCUGGCGGUGAUGAUGAGAUCUACAGAGGCAGUCCGGCGGAGUGUGCGGCCGGCGUUUCGCGUAUUCUUCUUCCACCUUUUUUUUUUGUUUUCAAUUCCGUUUCUUUGACUGUUGUUAUUGUUCUGUUUUGA